Molecule: transfer RNA, 70 nt
Filed under: Zoroaster ophiactis
Lineage: Eukaryota; Metazoa; Echinodermata; Asteroidea; Forcipulatida; Zoroasteridae
Description: tRNA-Gly
Rfam family: tRNA
About the family: Transfer RNA (tRNA) molecules are approximately 80 nucleotides in length. Their secondary structure includes four short double-helical elements and three loops (D, anti-codon, and T loops).
Source: RNAcentral
AUUUCAUAAGUAUAGUAGUAUAUUUGAUUUCCAAUCAAAAGGUUUUUGUUAAUAGUCAGAAAUGGAAUAC